RNAcentral lists this ribosomal RNA (1397 nucleotides) under Proteus sp. (in: enterobacteria). RNAcentral's name for it is "bacterial SSU rRNA". It matches the Rfam family "Bacterial small subunit ribosomal RNA". The record is from RNAcentral. Lineage: Bacteria; Pseudomonadati; Pseudomonadota; Gammaproteobacteria; Enterobacterales; Morganellaceae.
UGCAGUCGAGCGGUCCAUGAGGAGGCUUGCUUUCUUGCUGACGAGCGGCGGACGGGUGAGUAAUGUAUGGGGAUCUGCCAUAUGAGGGGGAUGCUACUGGAGCGGUGGCUAAUACCGCAUGACGUCUACUGACCAAAGCAGGGGCUCUUCGGACCUUGCGCUAUCUGAUGAACCCUUAUGGGAUUGGCUAGUGCGCGAGGUAAAGGCUCUCCUAAGCCAGGAUGUCUAGCUGGUCUGAGAGGAUGAUCCUGCACCCUGGGACUGACACCCGGGCCAGACUCCUACGGGAGGCAUCGGUGGGGAAUAUUGCACUAUGAGCCCACGCCUGAUGCUGCCCUGCCACGUGUUUGAAAAAGGCCUUAGGGUUGUAAAGUACUUUCAUCGGGGAGGAAGGUGAUAAAGUAAAUACCUUUAUCAUUUGUGCUUACCCCCACAAGAAUCCCCGGCUAACUCCGUGCCAGCGGACGCGGUGAUACUGAGGGUGCUAGCGUUAAUCGAAAUUAUCGGACGUAAAGCUGACGCGCGCGGUCAAUUAUUUCAUAUGUGACUGCCCCGAGCUUAACUUGGAAAUUGCAUCUGAAACUGGUUGGCUAAAGUCUUGUUCAGGGAGGUAGAAUUCCACGUGUAUGGGUGAACUGCGUAGAGAUGUGGAUGAAGACCGGUGGCGAAGGCAGCCCCCUGGACAAAGACUGACGCAUACGUGCGAAAGCGUGGGGAGCAAACAGGAUUAGAUACCCUGGUAGUUCACGCUGCAGACGAUGUCCAUAUACAAGUUGUGAUCUUGAACCGUGGCUUCUGCAGCUAACUCAUUCUCUCAACCGUCGGGGGGAGAACGGCCGCAACGGUUGAACUCGUAUGAUUUUUCGACGGGAACCGCACGAGACGGUGGACCAUGUUUGUCUAUUUCAAAUACAUCACGAAGAUCCUUACCUACUCUUGACAUCCAGAAGAAUCCUUUAGAGAUAGAGGAGUGCCUUCGGGAACGCUGAGACAGGUGUGGGCAUGGCUGUCGUCAGCUCGUGUUGUGAAAUGUUGGGUUAAGUCCCGCAACGAGCGCAACCCUUAUCCUUUGUUGCCAGCGCGUGAUGGCGGGAACUCAAAGGAGACUGCCGGUGAUAAACCGGAGGAAGGUGGGGAUGACGUCAAGUCAUCAUGGCCCUUACGAGUAGGGCUACACACGUGCUACAAUGGCAGAUACAAAGAGAAGCGACCUCGCGAGAGCAAGCGGAACUCAUAAAGUCUUUCGUAGUCCGGAUUGGAUUCUCCAACUGGACUCCAGGAAGUGGGAUUCGUUGGUAUCGCAAGUUCAGAAUGUUACGGUGAAUACGUUCCCGGGCCUUGUACACACCGCCCGUCACCCCCGAGAGUGGGUUGCACAAGAAGUAGGUAGCUUAACC